Molecule: transfer RNA, 67 nt
Filed under: Bombus terrestris (buff-tailed bumblebee)
Lineage: Eukaryota; Metazoa; Arthropoda; Insecta; Hymenoptera; Apidae
Also listed under: 2 other names
Description: tRNA-Val
Source: RNAcentral
AAAAUUUUAGUUUAAUAUAAAAUAUUUCAUUUACAAUGGAAAGUUUAAUUUAAAAAUUAAAAUUUUA